Pan troglodytes (chimpanzee) is the source of this 797-nucleotide long non-coding RNA. RefSeq lists it as uncharacterized. The record is from RefSeq and is a predicted model, not a curated record. The transcript has 4 exons. NCBI's taxonomy places the organism in Eukaryota, Metazoa, Chordata, Mammalia, Primates, Hominidae.
GCGGUGGAUACACAACUGUGUGCGGCUGUGGAAGAUUGACUCAUCCGUUACGUUCCCAUUUCCGUGGAACAACAGUUUUACCAGAAGGUUUCGAAGGAACCUUAAAGUUUGGAAGCGUAACAGUUUAUCUGGCGGCUUUGGAGUCAUCAAAUGUGAGAAGCCCUGGACUUUACACAUCCCGAGCCAGUGUGAUCCAGUAUGAUUGGGAGUCCGAGUGCCAGAUGCCGGUCGGGACCUGUUAUGCUGGGUCUCAGAAUGCGGAAACUCUCCCUGUCCGAGGUGGAACAGUUUGUCCUUGAGUGAGGACCGGAGUCCUGAGUGACUCUUGAUUUGAUCCUGUUUCCCUCAAACCUGAGAUGGGAGCCUCACUGUAUUGCCCAGGCUGGUCUUGAACUCCGGAGCUCAAGUGAUCGUCUUGCUUCAGCCUUCCAAAAUGAUGGUGAAGCUGCAUCAUUGUCUGGGGUAAAUACCUGAGGUUCGUUGUCUCACGCCAAGGGAAUCAAGGACGUGGACACACAAGAAGACAUACAGCCCUGCCGAGCAAACAAUGAACGUAACUCACAAACUUCCUGCUUAUCAUCAAACGCACGCAUCCACUUAUCAUCAAACACCUCGGGUGACAGAAGAAUGCAGGUCAGCUCCCUGCUGCCUUGGCAUUAUCAAUCAGCCCAGGAACCAUCCUAUAAAAUCUCCAGCAAGCCUUUGUUUCUUGCAGUCAGCUCCUCUUCCACUGAUUCUGCCUGUUGCUCCCUGAUAACCUACUUUGAUACUGUCUUUAAUAAAUCUGCUUUUCUUCA